UCGGGUGAGACCUAGGUCACCUCUCUCUCCUUUCACGUCUCUCUCUCUCUCCCUCGCAUCUCUCCGCGCCGCCGUCGACGUGAGGAGCGCCAUCUCCAUCCCGCGUUUUUCCUCCUUCGUCCUCCCCUUCUGCAGCGCAAGCCACGACCUCUCCUGUGUGCUCUGUUUUCCUCCCCGUCGGGACCAGGCAGAGGAGGAGCGGUGCGAGCCACGGAGAUGACGAGGUGGUCGAGCUUCCUGUGGCGCCAUCGCCGUACCUCACGGCCCAGCUAGAGGUGUGUCGGCCGCGGAGAUGACAGAGGUCUCAUCCGCUCGCUCUCUCGCCGCCAUAAGAGGAGUGCGCACAGGGGGAGUGGCGGGUCAAGAUCCGGAGACGGCGGGGCGGCGACCAUUCCCGUGAGGCCCGGCGGCGAGCAGAGCUCCUAUUGCUGAGCGUCGAGGGGCCGAAGGGCGCUCCGGAUCCGGAUCCGGGCGAGGUGGCAGCCAUGGCCGAGCUCGAGCUGCUUGGCGUCCCCGAGGGCGCCUCCUUCGACGAGAUCCUGCGCACCCCGUCCUCGCCUCCUGCAAGGAUGACCCAGAUGCCGUCGCCCAGAAGUUGCUAAUUUAGGAGAAGAAGUCGCCUCCAUCAAAUUGGAAAUGCAUGAAUGGCGACGUAUGUAUGAUGCAUCUUACUUUCUCAUGCCCAGACGCAAAAUUAAUCUACUUCCGUACACAGGAAGAAAAGUGAAGACCUGAUCAUCAGUAAUUUGGGCAAUUUGGUGCAUAGUUGUUCGCAUGUGAUGAAUCCAGUCUGUUACAAUAGUCUACUUUUGGCAUUAGGUGCGUUAGCUUAUAGUGGUAGCGCGAUUUGAGGAGGAGGAGCGAGGUCGAAAGAUGGCAGCCAGUCCGACCACGUCCUCUCUUCAUCCCUUUCUCCCUUUCGAUCUUGGAUUUGAUAUGGACGCCGUUGUCGCCGUGGUUGCCUCGCCGUCGUGGCUCAGGAGACGAUGCGUCGUCUCGCGACUGGACCGGAAAGGAAAGUGACCAGAGACACAUAUUCUCCUCUCCUUGGCAGUGACGCAGGCCGGCAACGAGGAGGCUUGCAAUGGUGUGUGCCUAACAGAACAUAGAAGACAAAACAGAGAAGAGAGACUACAUGUUCUUGCAAGAUGCAGUCGUGCUGCUGAUAGAAACAAUUUUAUCUCAAGUUUCUUCAUCCGACGAAGGAUUUAUAGUGGAUGCACAUCAAUCUGGGAGGAAUUAUCAGGCACACGACCAACGAGCGGUGACAGAAGCAACUUCUCCAUUAGACUAGACAGAAGCAACUUCUCCAUUAGACUACAUGACAGGUAAGAUUAAGACCUUCAUAGGUGAAAAGAAGUCUAUGUGAUAUUGUUUUCUUCCAUUUCUGUGAAGCGCCUUACCUAGAACCGCAGUCGUUUUGUGGUGAGAAACCAUUUAUUUCUCCUUUUAUCAUCUUGAUGAUUGUUUCUAAUACAUUUAAUUUAAGAGAAACAUGGACAUAAAGCUACAUGGGAACACUUGAUCCUAAACAGAUUUUUUUUAACGGAAUGUAUAUGUUCUCAAAUGGAGGGAAUGAAAAUCUCAAAUAGAUGAAAUCUAGAGAUCAAAAUAAUGACCGGAUGUGGUCUCCAUUCCGUUUGGUGAGAAGUGAGACUUUGUUCCUUCCGGUUUGGAAAAAAGCUACUGGUCAAUCCUUAUUUAUCGGUGUUGCUGUCAACGGCAAUAUCCUGGCCUGGCGAGGAAAUAUGUAUGAUUUUGCGAACAUUUCUGUUGUUCCGUGUAACUCAUUGGUGUUUUUUCUGGUCUAUCGUCAACACCGGUGUUGUUCUAUUCGGAUACGUUGGUGCGGUGUGUGUACGUCAUGGGCAUGCGGUUUCUAUUGUUUGCUAUUGUUGUAUAGCCAUAAGUAGGAGAGCUGAGUUUAGCUGUGUUUCGUGCAAUGGAGCUGUCUACUCCUGCCAAUGGCAACCUUAUGGGCCGGCAAGGUAAACUUUUAUCAGUUUGCAAGCAGUUCUGGUGUUAAUGAUCUGCUAUUCUUUGUAACACCAAUGGUAGGUUUUUUGUCUGUCAAUGGUAUUGAUGUUGUUUCUAUUCAGGUGUGUCGACGUAGUGGGCAUGUCGUUCGUGUCAUUUUGCAAACAUUUCUGGUACUAUUGAAUCUACUAUUCAGCCAAUAGCAUUACUGUAGCUUGGUAAGGGAAAAAAAUGUUGUUUUGCAAAAUUUCUGCUAUUAAUGAUCUGCUAUUCUACAUGACCCUAAUGUCAGUUUUUCUACUCAGUCGACGGCAUUGAUGUUUCUAUUCGGAUGUGUCAGUGUCUACGCCAUGGGGCACGCGUUUUAAGUUGUUUGCCCUGCCCUAUAUCCAUAUGUAGAAGAGUCAAGUUUAGUAAUGAAAUUAUCAGUUUUCCUGCCAAUGGUUUAUGGCCUGGGAAGGAAAACUUUAUCGUUUUGUCAAUUUAUUUGUUGACUUGCUUCCGAUGCUCUUAGCAUAUUUUUUGGCAUUGCUUAUGUGUAUCAAGUAUCAUCAUGCACAAAGUUAAAUAGUUUUAUAAAUUUCUAAUUUCCUGAUCAGCGCUUUUUCUGCAUAUUUCAAUGUUGGUUCUCAGAAAGUGAAGCUCGCCUGCAUGCACUUCCGCCAGUUCUAUGAGGCAAUAUGCAAAGAAGGGUCAGUACUCAGUAAUUAUUCUCCACUCUCUAUUGUUCAAUUUUUUUAUGUAAACCCGCCAGCUUAUUUUGUAUUGUAUGGCCCUAUAUUUAGCUCAUACCAAUAAGUAUUAUAAAGAAUGGACCUGUUGUUCACUUCAUCUGCAAUCACGUGAUUGGUAGAACUUGGUUCGUUAUCUUAAUACGCCUCCUAUAACUUGUGGUUUCUAGACUUCUGCUUAUACCAUGACUGAGUUCUGCAAAAGAGAGAAAAUAAUGUUUGUUCCUCUCUUAUUCAAGUUAAUACGAUGUACUGGAGAUUACUGUAAGACAUUUUGAAAGAAGGACCUAUUUGUUUAAGAGAAAACCAGCGGCAAUCCAGCGGUGCUGGCUGCUGGUUUUUGAACCCCUGGUUCUAUCCAACAUCAUUGACAAAUGAGCCUUUCUAACAUAUUUCUACAUUCACAUUCGUCAACUUAUUAUGGAAUAUGGUUUUCUGACCUGCGCAUCAAAGCUUAUGAAGGCAACUUAAAAAUUGUAAUACUUGCAGAUGCGUUCAGACCUUGAUGAUUGGCUUCAUACCAUCACAUUGUUGUCUUAUCUUACAGUUAUGUACAAUAUAUAACUGCGCCUGCCAGAAAGCAUGUUCUUAAAAAGCAUGUUCUAGAUUCUUCUCUUUGGAUUUGAGUUAAGUUUUAUCUCCUGGCCCUUUUUCGUUUUGAUUGUUUCAUGGUAUCAAAGAAAACCAUUGAAUUUUUUGAUGGGGAAGGUACAGAGUAUGAAUGUUCCAGUCUAUGAUGGAGGAAUUUUUCUGUGCAACCAUCUGACCAAGAAGUAGUGCUUCCACAGAAACUUUUUGACCUUUCGUCUAAGUGUACUGAUUUUAUACAUAGAGUUAAAUCUGGCACGACACUAUUCCUGUACGAUGUUGAGCACUGUAAGCUUCAUGGGGUAUUUGAAGCAACUUCAGAUGGAGCCAUGAAUAUCAUUCCUGAUGCAUAUGCAUCGUCAGUGUUUUGGUAUCCUUAUCUGGUAUGAAUAUGUUUUAGACAUACCAAGCAUAGUUAUCUAUCCAUUUAUUCCAGGGUCUAUGAAAUUUGUCAGUGACAUGUCGUUAAUAACACAACUGGAGCAUCUAUCCUCCACUUAUUCCAUAUUUCACGCUAAUUUGUACCUUUCAGAUGGUAAAAGGAAACUGUCAGCAAUUUUCUGUAAUGCUUUGAAAUUUGCCCUUCCUGGCAUAUUAUGGGAGACAAACUAAUACUUUUCCUGCUGUGUUCACUAAAUACAUAAAUGCUUAAGGAUUUGGUUUUGCAAGCCUUUGAUGGAAAGUGAAUUUGAAGAUGCAGUACAUGAUAAUUAUUGCUUCAUACAAAACAAGUUUAGUUACGGUUUGACACAUCAACAGGUCUGUUUCACAGUCUUCUGGUGUUAUGUUAAUUUACGUUAGCUAUUGAUCCCAGGGUGUUCGUUUGAUACAGGUUGUAAAGCAGCAUGUUUUAUUAUUUUAGUUAGCAUUAAGCUAAUCACAAACCACAAAAAAUACACACACGCGCCCUUAAAGAAUCACAUCUAUAUAUGUUCCGCUCUUUACUGAAUCUUGAUGUUACAUAUUGAACCUUAUGUAUAUUCUCCUUGCAUCUAAAUUGUUGAUUUCUACUCAAUAUUGUGUGUAUAUGUCCAUCUGUGCAUAAUAUGUGGCCCAAAUGAUGUGAUAUUGUUCUUUUAGCCAUGAACCAAUUUAUGUAGCGAGGCCGACGAUUUGACUGUAACAUUUUUUCUCCUCUGGUUGAAUACUGUUUUAUAGCUCCUAAGUAAUGUAUUGUCGAAGCCGGCCGGGAAAAUAUGUUGUGUCUUAAGAUAAUUAUAAAAUAAUUGAAUAUAUCAAAAUGAUAAUGACAUUGGAUUAACUUUAGAGGAAUAUGACAGAAGGUUUAACCUUCAAUAUUGUAGGUUUUCCUGAUUGUCUGGCACCUUAUUAGGAGACGACGACCGCUACCAUGAAUAGGUUUAAAUUCCGCAUUGCUUCCAUUGGACAAAUCAUGAUAGAAAACAAAUGUUCAUAAACUUAUAAAAUAAACUACUGCUGCCUUGUUGUUUUUAUCGAGGAUGUUUUCUUUAAGCAUAUGCUAAUCACACACUAUCUUCUAUUUCACUUAGAUUAUUCCUAGGGCUCCAGGGAUAACCACAUUAUUUUCACUUACAUGUUCCUGAUUCCUUCGUCGUCUCGCAGCUGGAUCGGUGGGUGGCGACACGUUCGCUGUUUGGUCGAGCCGUCCACAGCGCUGUUGCUGCCGUCCAGGAUGAGCUGCUCAGCCUGCUACUCCACGAGACUCCCUAGCAGCAGCUGAAGAGAGGUUCCAUUGGAACAAGCACCCAUGGUUGUUGUCGCCGUUAGCACCGUCCCUUAACUGCGACCCUUUAGACCCUUUGCUGAUCCAGCUCCCAGAAGGCCAAUGCCUGGGGAAGGGAAGUGGUUUCUCUCUGUCGAGGAGGACAAGCAGAGAUAGAGGAGGCAAAUGUGAUAUGCUUGGCAUUAUGCUGUGAGGAUAGAGGGCCAUGGAUCUGGAUGUGGAGAUUGUGAAAGUCCAUGUGACGUUCGAAUCAAGAUGAGCGGCCGUUCCUGCUGACAUUGUGUAAACUAGAUGAAUUUUAGGCGCUCUUUUGUCAGAGACCGCUUGAUGGUUUGGUUGGGACUGCUACCGCAGCAUCGCCGGCGCCCUUCAGUACCUGACGAUCACGCGUCCGGAGAUCGCAUAUGUCGUCCAGCAGAUCUUCCUGCACAUGCACGAUCCCCGCGAGUGCCAUCUCGGGUUGAUCAAGUGUGUGCUCCGGUACGUGCGCGGCACGCCCGCGCUCGGUCUUCAUCUUCGCGCGUCGCGUGUGCUGGACCUGCGAGCGUUCACGGAUGUCGACUGGGCCGGUUGCCCUGACACCAGGCGCUCCACCUCCGACUUCUGCGUCUACCUCUGCGACGCCCUCGUCUCUUGGUCUUCGAAGCGUCAGGCAAUCGUCUCACGCUCCAGUGCCGAGGCCGAGUACCGUGGCAUCGCGAACGCCGUCGCCGAGUGUGUUUGGUGAGCUGUUCUCUCCCAUCGACAAGGCCACGCUGGUGUAUUGCGAUAACGUCUCCGCCGUCUACCUGUCUGCCAACCCCAUACAUCAUCGCCGGACAAAGCACGUCGAGCUGGAUAUUCUCUUCGUUCGCGAGCGUGUGGCGCUUGGCGAAUUAUGGGUCCUUCACAUCCCCACACGGCAGCAGCUCGCGGAUAUCAUGAUGAAAGGGCUGUCGUCCGAGGUCUUCUCCAACUUCCGGUCCAGUCUUUUCGUCGCCGCCACCGACGUCACGACUGCGUGGGGGGUGUUAGCCAGGGUAGUUAUGGAGUCUGUAUUCUUGUAUUGUAUACGGCUUAGGUAGCUUUGACCGUGCAGCAGUUUUGUUGAGUAGUGCUGCACGUCGCUCGGUAGUGGCACACCCACGAUCCCGCUCGGCUGCGGCCAGCGCCCUGUAUAACUCUGCAGCCUCGAGCAUAAUCGAUGUGUGUUGAAUCCCA
Long non-coding RNA from Triticum dicoccoides, 6201 nucleotides. RefSeq lists it as uncharacterized. NCBI's taxonomy places the organism in Eukaryota, Viridiplantae, Streptophyta, Magnoliopsida, Poales, Poaceae. The transcript is spliced from 8 exons. The record is from RefSeq and is a predicted model, not a curated record.